RNAcentral lists this ribosomal RNA (427 nucleotides) under uncultured bacterium. Its description in RNAcentral is "partial 16S ribosomal RNA". It matches the Rfam family "Bacterial small subunit ribosomal RNA", at positions 355 to 774 of the family's 1533-position model. The record is from RNAcentral.
UGGGGAAUAUUGCACAAUGGGCGCAAGCCUGAUGCAGCCAUGCCGCGUGUAUGAAGAAGGCCUUCGGGUUGUAAAGUACUUUCAGCGGGGAGGAAGGUGUUGUGGUUAAUAACCACAGCAACUGACGUUACCCGCAGAAGAAGCACCGGCUAACUCCGUGCCAGCAGCCGCGGUAAUACGGAGGGUGCAAGCGUUAAUCGGAAUUACUGGGCGUAAAGCGCACGCAGGCGGUCUGUCAAGUCGGAUGUGAAAUCCCCGGGCUCAACCUGGGAACUGCAUCCGAAACUGGCAGGCUUGAGUCUUGUAGAGGGGGGUAGAAUUCCAGGUGUAGCGGUGAAAUGCGUAGAGAUCUGGAGGAAUACCGGUGGCGAAGGCGGCCCCCUGGACAAAGACUGACGCUCAGGUGCGAAAGCGUGGGGAGCAAACA